GUCUUCGUAGUAUAUGAAUUACCCUGGUCUUGUAAACCAGAAAAGGAAAACACCACUUUCCCCAAGACU
This 69-nucleotide transfer RNA is filed under the name Diceros bicornis (black rhinoceros). RNAcentral describes it as "tRNA-Thr". Lineage: Eukaryota; Metazoa; Chordata; Mammalia; Perissodactyla; Rhinocerotidae. The record is from RNAcentral.